UCGGUUGCUCCACUUGAAAAUUCUUUGUACGAGGCCGUGGCGGCAGGGUCGGUGUAUUUUCUGGACUACAAACAUUUGCGGACUCGGGAAACCGUGCAGCAACAUAAAUCAUCAGGUACAGCGCUUCCGUAUCGGAGAAGGUUUCCGUUUAUUGAUGGUUUUGUUUAGUGACUGUUCCUGUCCCAGAAGCACCAGAAGCAGGUCCUGAUAAGCGUCGACUAGGCGAAACAGAAUGCGGUACCGAGGUUCCUGCCACCGAAAUCGAUGUGCACCACCUUCCAAUCGGUGGCGGUUGGGCAGCAGUGUCGAGUCAAUUUACUUCAUUGAAGGACCGCGUUGCCUUAAAGCGAUUGAAAAGGGACAUCACAUGACACAAUUUCUGGAUACUGCAAUGCACUUGCUGCAGCGCUCAGUGGAGUCAGAUACCCCCCGGUAAAACACCGCUGAUUACGAAUUGAAAGCCUGAAUUUCUUGACGAAAACAAGCUUCCAAGGGAUGAAAUAGGGAAGCGGUCCAAUUAAUAAUCAAAGACUGUAGUGAUCAAUAAGGUCCCAAGGAACUGCCUUCAGAUUACCGUAUCCAAUAACGAGGGCAAAAUUGAAUUUAAUUUUCAAAGGGAUCGAUAAUCUAAAAUUAUCCGAAUGUGACGAAGCGCUGACGUAUCAGUUAACCUAAAACCACUGGAAGGACACUCAUUCAACUUUUGACGAAGGCAGCAUAUUUUCGUAACGAUACUUGGCUUAGAUUGCUGAGGUGAACGAUGUGGUUCAUAUACUCACAGCAACUUCGGGUUCAGUCCGAAGACUUUCGCUUUAACCCUUCUCACAGUCGGGAGCGAGCCUGAAGGUGGAUUCACCGGAGGAACAUCUUCGUCGACACUGCAGUGUAUCAUGAAAAACUGGCAAAUUAUUUUAAUGUUUCCAUAGAAAAUUGUUAAAUGUUAAAAAAAGGGAUAACCAUAUGAUAAAUUUUGGAUUAGUGGCUAUAACUUUUAGCAUAGCUUAACUUAGCUUGAUUAACUACUCACAUCCAGUGGUAGUGGAUAUAACCUUUGAUUUAAAAGUGUUUUAUAACGGUUACGAUCUAUUUGUUAAACUAUAAUUGCGCUUCAAAUUAAAACAAGAACGAACUAUAUAACUGCGAAAAAGUUAGGAAAAGUGUAUGU
Molecule: long non-coding RNA, 1165 nt
Organism: Uranotaenia lowii
Lineage: Eukaryota; Metazoa; Arthropoda; Insecta; Diptera; Culicidae
Exons: 4
Source: RefSeq, a predicted model, not a curated record